AAUACCGCAUGAUACCUUAGGGUCAAAGGCGCAAGUCGCCUGUGGAGGAGCCUGCGUUUGAUUAGCUUGUUGGUGGGGUAAUGGCCUACCAAGGCGAUGAUCAAUAGCUGGUCUGAGAGGAUGAUCAGCCACACUGGGACUGAGACACGGCCCAGACUCCUACGGGAGGCAGCAGUGGGGAAUAUUGGACAAUGGGGGCAACCCUGAUCCAGCAAUGCCGCGUGUGUGAAGAAGGUUUUCGGAUUGUAAAGCACUUUCGGCGGGGACGAUGAUGACGGUACCCGCAGAAGAAGCCCCGGCUAACUUCGUGCCAGCAGCCGCGGUAAUACGAAGGGGGCUAGCGUUGCUCGGAAUGACUGGGCGUAAAGGGCGUGUAGGCGGUUUGUACAGUCAGAUGUGAAAUCCCCGGGCUUAACCUGGGAGCUGCAUUUGAUACGUGCAGACUAGAGUGUGAGAGAGGGUUGUGGAAUUCCCAGUGUAGAGGUGAAAUUCGUAGAUAUUGGGAAGAACACCGGUGGCGAAGGCGGCAACCUGGCUCAUAACUGACGCUGAGGCGCGAAAGCGUGGGGAGCAAACAGGAUUAGAUCCUGGGGUAAUUCAAGGCGGCUGUCUAGUCUGUAAC
This 622-nucleotide ribosomal RNA is filed under the name Acetobacter cibinongensis. Its description in RNAcentral is "bacterial SSU rRNA". It matches the Rfam family "Bacterial small subunit ribosomal RNA", at positions 165 to 827 of the family's 1533-position model. The record is from RNAcentral. Lineage: Bacteria; Pseudomonadati; Pseudomonadota; Alphaproteobacteria; Acetobacterales; Acetobacteraceae.